Long non-coding RNA from Dermochelys coriacea (leatherback sea turtle), 1128 nucleotides. RefSeq lists it as uncharacterized. The record is from RefSeq and is a predicted model, not a curated record. Lineage: Eukaryota; Metazoa; Chordata; Testudines; Dermochelyidae. The transcript has 3 exons.
UCUUCCAAAAGUGGGGGUUUCCCCAAAUAGACUUGUUUGCUUUGAAUCAGAACAAAAAGUGUCUGUUUUGUUAUUGAGCAGGAAAUAGUCUGGGAUUCAUAGCAGACACUUUCACGAUUUGCUGGUCACACCAUUUGACGUCUGCCUUCUGUAUUUUUCUUUUAAUUCCAAGGGUGAUCAGGAAGAUAAGGGGGUCGUCAGGAGACGGAGGUGACGGCUUGAUGUCAAUCCAGGAGACGGAAGUGACUGAGAGCGAGUUGUAGACGAAGUGGUUGGCUCUGGUUCAGCUCGAGAAGUUGAUUGCGUAGGUUUAUCUGCUGCUGGUUGUUUGUUUUUCCUUGAAAAACAUGGUGAUUGGCAACUGUCACUGUUGUCUCUUGAGCUGCUCAAACAUUUCUUGAUUGGUCUCAAAUCAUCCGUAAUACUACGUGUGAUUUUUGAGACUUCAAUCCAUAGAUGGAUCAUAUUCAGAAAUUAAAUCAUUCAAGUAUUUCGCUGCUUGGAACACUUCAGCAAAUUUAGGAAGAUUCCAACUUGCUGGCUCUUCUUGUUCGUCAUCAUCAUCUUCAUCUUCUGUAGACGAUUUUAUCAGUUCCUCUACGUCUUCGUUAGUCAGUGUUUCUCUGUGGCUCUCAAUUAAUUCUUCAAUUUCUUCCUCAAGGAUGUCAAUGAAGCCAUCACCAGCCACUUGCCUGGCUACCUGAACAAUGCAUUUCACUUCUUUGUCAAUGGUCAGGAAACUCUUAAAAUCAUUCACACAUUCUUUCCAUAGAUUUCGCCAACAUGCAUUGACUGUUUCAGGCUUGAUUGCAUCCAUUGCCUGUUUAAUAUAAGUGACGCAAUUAGCAAUGUUGAAAGACUUCCAACACUCCAUCACAUUUAAGAUUGGGAUCAGCAUCCAUAGUACUAUGUAUCCGUGAGAACGCAAGCCUCCUGUACAUGGCCUUGAAACAGCGAAUCACGCCUUGGUCGAGAGGUUGGAGGUGGUAUUUGUGGAAGGAGGCGGAUCAUGAGGACUUGAGAACAAGCAUGACCCCUACUGGACACUACUAAUGAAAAUGUUCCAAGCUAUUGCACUGGGGCCACCACACAUCAUGACUGGGAUCCACAUGUGCAGAUAUUUCAAAG